This is a long non-coding RNA of Podarcis raffonei (Aeolian wall lizard), 392 nucleotides long. RefSeq lists it as uncharacterized. The transcript has 2 exons. The record is from RefSeq and is a predicted model, not a curated record. Lineage: Eukaryota; Metazoa; Chordata; Lepidosauria; Squamata; Lacertidae.
GCACCAGCUGGCUUCUGAAAUGUCAAAAAUCACACCAUCAGUUUAAAACUAACCCUGCUCCGCACAUGCUAUGAAUUGGAGAGGAGUCUGGCAGUGCACUCAAGAGUGAGACUAGGUGGUCACAUCUCUGCAGAUCUCUAUGAAGUGGCGAACCAGAUGCCUGUGGGAAACAUGCAAACAGGACCACAGCACAAGAGCAAUCUCUUCUCUUAUGGUUUGCAGCAUCAGCAUGAGAGUUUGCAACUCCUUGGAAGCAACACUACUACAGUGGGCUUGUCUCUGUUCAGCUCAGGCAAGUACAGCAGAGCACUUUCCCCACCCAAGAACUUCUGGAUUGAACAUCAACCUUGACAUGGCUGGCUGAUUUAUUAAAAGGGAGUAAUCCAAAGAGA